This is a long non-coding RNA of Populus euphratica (Euphrates poplar), 123 nucleotides long. RefSeq lists it as uncharacterized. The record is from RefSeq and is a predicted model, not a curated record. NCBI's taxonomy places the organism in Eukaryota, Viridiplantae, Streptophyta, Magnoliopsida, Malpighiales, Salicaceae. The transcript has 2 exons.
CCCAAAUAAAUGAUAUUAAACUAGGUCCAAGUCAUUGAGACUUGAGAGGCUGAGACAAUCCUCUUAUUUGACAGGACAGUUCAUAACAUCAUCGAAAGAUAAAUUUGACAGGACAGUUCACAA